CUCUGUUUUGCAGUCUCUCAAAGCUCUCUCAUAUUCCAUGGUGUUUCGGAUAGCUGUUUCAGAUUCGCAGUGAUCGGUUUGAUUAUUCGUGUUUCGUUAUCCUAUGCUUAAUUUUCUGGAAAUUUUGGUUUCUCUCUUGAUCGGUUGCCGAAGAUGUCUAUUUCUAGUUACUUAUGCUCGUCUGUAUGUCUUGUCAUGCUGAUGUAGCUCAGAUCGUGGAUUUGAAGUCAAGUGCCAAAACUUCGGAUUUGUUCUAGUUGGAACGGAAACGAUCGGUUUGAUCGAUACGUGUCUAGUUAUCCUGUGCUUGAUUUUGUGGAAAUUUCGCGUUUAUAUUGAUCGGUUGCUUAAGAUUUCUGUUUCCGAUUAUUUAUUGUUGGUAUGUCUCCAUGACUUGAUGUAGUUUGGAUCGGGGAUUCGAUUUUAGCUUGCUGCUUCCGGAUGUCUUUUGGUUGAACGGCAUGGAUCGGUUUGAUUAAUUCGUGCUUUGUUAUCCUAUGCUUGAUUUUCUGGAAAUUUUGGGUUUCUCUCUUGAUCGAUUGCCGACGAUGUCUAUUUCCAGUUACUCAUGUUCGUCUAUAUGUCUUGUCAUGUUGAUGUAGCUCAGAUCGUGGAUUUGAAGUCAAGUGCCGAGGCUUCGGAUUUGUUCUAGUUGAACGAAAACGAUCGGUUUGAGCGAUACGUGUCUAGUUAUCCUAUGCUUGAUUUUGUGGAAAUUUCGCCUUUAUAUUGAUCGGUUGCUUAAGAUUUCUGUUUCCGAUUAUUUAUUGUUGGUAUGUCUGUCAUGCCUUGAUGUGUCAUGCCUUGAUGUAGUUUGGAUCGUGGAUUCGAUUUCAGCCCACUGCUGCUUUUGGAUGUCUUUUGGUUGAACGGCAUGGAUCGGUUUGAUAAUAAGUGUUUGGUUAUCUUAUGCGCGAUUCUCUAUGAAUUUUGGUUUAUGUCUUGAUCGGUUGCCGAAGAUGUCUAUUUCCAGUUACUGACGUUGAUGUAGAUCAGAUCGUGGAUUUGAAGACGAGGGCAAGGCUUCGGAUUUUUUCUAGUUGAUCGGAAACGAUCGGUUUGAUCUAUACUUAGUCUAGUUAUCCUGUGCUUGAUUUUAUGGAAAUUUCGUGUUUAUAUUGAUCGGUUGCUUAAGAUUUCUGUUUCCGAUUAUUUAUUGUUGGUAUGUCUGUCAUGACUUGAUGUAGUUUGGAUGGUGGAUUCGAUUUCAGCCUGUUUCUUUCGGAUGUCUUUUGGUUGAGCGGCAUGGAUUGGUUUGAUAAUACGUGUUUGGUUAUCUUAUUCGUGGUUCUCUGUGAAUUUUGGUUUAUGUCUUGAUUGGUUGCUGAAGAUGUCUAUCUGCAGUUACUUAUGCUCAUCUGUAUGUCUUGUCAUGUUAUGUUGUUCAGAUUGUGGAUUUGAUAUCAAGUUCAAGGCUCCGGAUUUGUUCUAGUUGAGCAAAUAGAUCGGUUUAUCCUAUGCUUGGUUUUUUUGAACUUUUGUGUUUAUAUUGAUCAGUUGCUUUCAGUUUCUCUUUCCGAAUAUGUAUUGCUGCUUUGUCUGUCAUGACUUUAUGUAGUUCGGGUCGCAGAUUCGGUUUCAGCAGCAUGCUUUCGGAUUUCAGGCAUGCUUUCGGAUUUCAUUUGGUUGAACGACCUCGAAAGGUUUAAAAGCUUGGUUCUAGUCCUUCAUCACUCAUCAGCAAGCUUGUUUGAAUGACAAUGAUCGGUUUGGCAGGCCUUUGAAUUUCCCUUCAUUAGUAGACUCAUUUAAUAUUUUAUUAGACUUAAAUUUAUGGGUUCUUUGCUGUUUUGGUUAUUCAUCCUAGGUUUGAUCUAAUAUUGGGGUUCAUUAACCUAACUAAUGCUAAGAGGUCCCAUGUAGAGCAGCCCAGUCAGUCCCAUGAUGAUCAUUAGUGGCCUUGCCAAGCUUGGUUUUAUUCCUUCCAAAAAAUUGUCCUUGAAUUUUGGUUUUGAUUUCCCAAAAUUUCUUCACUCUUUUACUGUAUAUAUUUUAGUAUAAUCCUAAUUCUUCCUUUAUAUUUAUUCUUCUGCAUAAUUGCAGGUCUAGUUGUGGUGUUCCAUGAUGAUCAUGAUCAUUAGUGCCCUUGUCAAGCUUGGUUUUAUUCCUUCCAAAAAUUUUUGUCCUUGAAUUUCGGUUUUGAUUUCCCAAAAUUUCUUUUCUCUUUUACUGUAUAUAUAAUUAAGUAAAAUCCUAAAUUCUUCCUUUAUAUUUAUUUUUCUGCAUAAUUGCAGGUCUAGUUGUGGUUUAGAAAGACCAGUUCAGGACAUCUUCCAAUUGUAAAAAUUUUGGUUUGGUUGUGGUUUUGUUUUUUUUGGUGCUUUUGCCCUUUUCCCUUCACUAGUAGAGUAGACAUAUCAUUGUUUGUUUACCCUUUAACUUUUUGGGUUUUCUUUGCUCUUGAUGUUCUUUCUAGGUAUAAUCCAAGAUUAGGUUGAUUAACCAAGUUCCUAGAGGAGGAAGCCAGUCCAUUCACUGUUGUAUGAUGAUCAUUAGUGAUUGUGGAUUUGAUAUCAAGUUCAAGGCUCCGGAUAUGUUCUAGUUGAGCGAAUAGAUCGGUUUGAUCAUUAAACGUUUCAGUUAUCCUAUUCUUGGUUUUCUGGAAAUUUUGAGUUUAUAUUGAUCGGAUGUUCAAUUUCUCUUUCUGAUUUGGUUUUCUAUUUGAUCUGUUCCUAAAGACUUCCCAUCCAAUUACUUAUUGUUCUGUCUUGACUUGAUGUAAUCCAGAUUGUGGCUUUGAUGUCACCUGCAAGUUCUUGGAUUAUUGUCCUGAUUGAAGUGUUGAACAACAUAGAUCGGUUUGAUUAGUUUUAUCUUCUGGAAAUUUUGGUUUGUAUAUGAAUUGUUGAGAUAUCCAUUUUCCACUAUAUAUGGUUGUCUUUUGGUCUGAUGAUGCAGCUCAGGUUAUGGAUUCGAUAUCAGCUGCAAUGUUUUGGAUUCUUGUUCUGAUUAAACAACUGAAAUGGGUUUGGUUAAUUUGUGUUUGGCUCUCCUAUGAUUGCAUCUUUGGAUACUAUUUGUUGCAUUAAUGUUCCCACUAUAAUUAUUCCAUCUCUUAUGUACUUCAGAUCAUGGAUCCUUUUAUGUCAGCUAUGCAAGGUUUCAGCUGCCUUUUCUGGUUAAAUGACAUAGAUUGGUUUAAUUUAUUCAUAUCUUACUCUAUGUUUUUUUUUUCCUUUUUUGGAAAUUUUGCUGUCUUUAUGGGAUUGCUAAGAAUUUUGUUACCCCAGUUAUUCAUCAAUCUUUUGAUCUGACUUGAUGAUCAGAUUGUGCAAUCUAUGCCAGCUGCAAGGUUUUAGAUUCAUAUUCAUGUUCCGUGUGAUCGGGUUGAUACUCAACAAUAUGGUUUAGAUCUCAGAAUCAAUUUCAGCUGCAAGGUUUCAAAUGCUUAUUUGGUUAGCAAGGUCAAUUGGUUUCAUUAGAACAUUCUUGUUUAUCCUAAUGCUUGAUCAUAUUUUGUCAUGAGUUUUUAAAAUUUCAGUUUCUGAUUAUUUACAGUUUAUGUUGACAAUUCUUAUGGAGUCCUUUGGUAUUCAGAUGUGUAUGGUUUUCAACCCUGGCCUAUUCUCUUGUAUUUUUAUUUGGUUAUUUCAUUUCUGUAAUCAAAAUGAUACUUAAAUCCUUUGAAUCUUUUGGCUUUUUAGAAUGUGGUAUGUGGUAGUAGGUAUAGUUGGUGAGCCAUAAUGGAUUUUUUUAUUUGGAAAGGUCUAGAUGUGUUCUGCGUUUGAAGGGUUAGUUCUGGUCAUUUUCCAUUCAUGAAAUAAUUUGGUUUUGGUUUGUGGUUAAUUAUCCUUUUUUCUGUGCUUUUGCCCCUCUCCCCAUUCCACCAGUAAACACAUUAAUAUUUGAUCAGACUUAAUUUUGUUGGGGAUUCUUUGCUCUCUUGAAAUUCAUUCUAGGUUUGAUCUAUAAGAUUUGGGGUUCAUUAACCUAAUGCUGAGAGCUUGCACCAGCCAGUCUUAUGAUUAUCACUAGUCGCCUACACUUGAGCUUGGUUCUAUUUCUCUAACUUGUGCAUGAAGUUCAGUUGUGGUUCCCAAAAUUUUCUAUACUCUUUUACUACAUACUAUAUUUUAUAUAAUUAAGUAAAAUCAUAUUCCUUCUCUUACAUAUAUUCUUCUGCAUAUAUGCAGGUCUAGAUAUGUUGAAAUCCCAGUUGUAUGAUUAUCAUUAAUGGCCUUCUUGAGUUCAGUUCUUUUUCUAUUUAACUUUUGUCCAUAAAGAUUUCAGUUGUGAUUUCUCAUAUUUUUUGCACUCUUUUACUACAUUACUUGCACAAUGUACAUUAGUAAAAUCCAUAUUCCUUCCCUUAUAUUCUUCUGCAUAUUUGCAGGUCUAGAGAUAUUGUGUUGUAAGUAUCCGUUCUGCUCAUCUUCCAUUUUGAUGUGGUUAAUUGUUCUUUUAUUCUGUGCUUUUGUGCCUCUCUCUCUCUCUCUCUCUCUUUAUGUGGCGUUAAUAUUUCUUUAUACUUAUGCAGUUCUGCUCUUUAUACUUAUCGUUGGUGCUGAUUCAUGCAAAUUUCAGUUUGAUUAUUGGUUCAAUUGUAUCUUCUUCUUUGCCCCCUUCUUUGGUUUUUGACUUAAAUUUUACUAACUUUUUUUCAUUAUUUCCCCACUCCAAUACUACCCUUAUUAUUUUUGUAUAUAAAUAUAUAUGAAUUUAUAUUGGGUUCUUUGCUCUUUGUAUGUUUCAAGGUUUGCUCUAGUUGUGGUACAUGAUGUGUCGAAGAACUCUGAGUAAGGAAAAUUUAAGUCUAAAUUCUUGAUUGUUAUAGAUAGUUUCUUGUUUCUAGUGUGUAGUGUGUCCAGGAAAGAGCUUCCAACCAGGGUAGCUUUCAGGAAUCAACUACUUCCUACACUCUUUUGGGAUUUGCUUUAAUGCCAUGUUAUUGAUUAUACACAAAAUCCAUGUCCCGUCUGAGAUGGUAAUAACCACUUGAUUAUUAAGGAACAGUAUAUGAUGUCAACUACUUCUGAUGCUAAGUUUUGGGAUUUGAUUUUAAUGCCAUGGUAUUGAUUGAUGUUUAUGGAUGCUAUAAUAAAUUGGUCUGGUUUGUGACAUCUUUUGGUAAUGGCCACCUGACUCUGAAGGAACAGUAGAUAUUGAUUUGGUUUUGUCCUACUUGGAGCUAGAGUCCAGCUACUGAGGUAUUAUUGUUCGAGAUAUUAUUUUCCCUAGAUUGCCAGCCCAUGUUUUGUUCUUUGUCUUGUCUCAUGAUUAAUUUUGUCACUUACGUUUUCUAGAGGCAUAAUUCUCAUGUAGAGAAACUAAUGGCUUGGAGUUAAAUAGCGACAUGAUGAUUAGCCCAUCCUCUUGCCUGGUUACAUGUACUGAAGUCUGUCUGAAUCUGGUUAUAUUGGGAGCAUGAAAGAGAUGAGCUUUGAUUAUUUAAACUCAAAUCAAAAUCCUGAUAUUCUUUCCAACCAUCUGACUUGAGCAAUGGAUAUUCUUUCUGGCACAUCUGAAUUGCAUACUCUCUUUGUUGUCUGAGUUGGGGGAAUUCUUUUACCGUUUUCUUUACAGUUGACAAUGGGUUGUAAUGUGAGCUGAUGAACUUCAUUAACAACAAUCUUGUUUCCAUGUGAGAUGGCUUAUGUUGUGUGAACUAAUGAACUACUUCUUUUACAAAAUCAGUAUGAACAUGAAGGUGCAUGAUUUGGCCUUUUGCGGUGCUGGUCAUUGCAAGUAUUUGCAACUACAUGGAUUCUCUGUUUAAUUGUUUGGCAGUUCUGGUUCAUGUCUACUAGAAAUGGUUUAUCUACAGCAUGUCGACAAUUGUCUCCGGUUUUGUUUGUCACUUGUUUUCUGCACUCCUUGAAGAAUGCUUUUCUAGAGAAUGGUUUCUCCCUAGUGAAAGACUGUUUUUCUGACUUUUUUAAGAGUACAAAGGUAGCUUUAUGUAAUUAAUUAAUGAUUGCCUGUCUGAAAGGCGUCUGUUUAUGAUUUCUCCUUGUGAAGAUGCUCCUACUUGGGCUGGUUUUCUAGAGAAUGGGUCUCUCUUUUGUGAAAACGAAGUUAAGAGAAUGCUUUACUUGAUUGUAUAUCAACCUUAAUUGGAGAUACAUUUUGGGUGGCUCAAGUGUAUGCAGUAAAGGUUCAACAUAGAUAUCAAACAAAAAUGUUACAUAAUGUCGGUGAUAAUUGUUGGUUUUGUUCAACAAUGUGUAUUCAUCAGAAACUCAAAUUCAUGGUUUUAUUUUCCAAGAUGGUAAUGCUUGCAUCUUUAGUUUGAA
This is a long non-coding RNA of Ipomoea triloba (trilobed morning glory), 6233 nucleotides long. RefSeq lists it as uncharacterized. The record is from RefSeq and is a predicted model, not a curated record. The transcript is spliced from 4 exons. NCBI's taxonomy places the organism in Eukaryota, Viridiplantae, Streptophyta, Magnoliopsida, Solanales, Convolvulaceae.